This 254-nucleotide ribosomal RNA is filed under the name uncultured bacterium. RNAcentral describes it as "partial 16S ribosomal RNA". It matches the Rfam family "Bacterial small subunit ribosomal RNA", at positions 524 to 776 of the family's 1533-position model. The record is from RNAcentral.
UACGAAGGGGGCUAGCGUUGCUCGGAAUCACUGGGCGUAAAGCGCACGUAGGCGGAUCUUUAAGUCAGGGGUGAAAUCCUGGAGCUCAACUCCAGAACUGCCUUUGAUACUGGGGAUCUCGAGUCCGGGAGAGGUGAGUGGAACUCCGAGUGUAGAGGUGAAAUUCGUAGAUAUUCGCAAGAACACCAGUGGCGAAGGCGGCUCACUGGCCCGGUACUGACGCUGAGGUGCGAAAGCGUGGGGGAGCAAACAGG